Molecule: ribosomal RNA, 253 nt
Filed under: uncultured bacterium
Lineage: Bacteria
Description: partial 16S ribosomal RNA
Rfam family: Bacterial small subunit ribosomal RNA
Source: RNAcentral
UACGAAGGGGACUAGCGUUGUUCGGAUUUACUGGGCGUAAAGCGCGCGUAGGCGGACCGCUAAGUCAGGGGUGAAAUCCCAGGGCUCAACCCUGGAACUGCCUUUGAUACUGACGAUCUGGAGAUCGGGAGAGGUUGGUGGAAUUCCGAGUGUAGAGGUGAAAUUCGUAGAUAUUCGGAGGAACACCAGAAGCGAAGGCGGCCAACUGGCCCGAUACUGACGCUGAGGCGCGAAAGCGUGGGGAGCAAACAGG